ACUGCUCAGUAACACGUAGUCAACAUGCCCAAGGGACGUGGAUAACCUCGGGAAACUGAGGAUAAACCGCGAUAGGUCAUCACUUCUGGAAUGGGUAAUGGCCGAAAUCUAUAUGGCCCUUGGAUUGGACUGCGGCCGAUCAGGCUGUUGGUGAGGUAAUGGCCCACCAAACCUACAACCGGUACGGGCUCUGAGAGGAGGAGCCCGGAGAUGGGCACUGAGACAAGGGCCCAGGCCCUAUGGGGCGCAGCAGGCGCGAAACCUCUGCAAUAGGCGAAAGCUUGACAGGGUUACUCUGAGUGAUUUCCGUUAAGGAGAUCUUUUGGCACCUCUAAAAAUGGUGCAGAAUAAGGGGUGGGCAAGUCUGGUGUCAGCCGCCGCGGUAAUACCAGCACCCCGAGUGGUCGGGACGUUUAUUGGGCCUAAAGCAUCCGUAGCCGGUUCUACAAGUCUUCCGUUAAAUCCACCUGCUUAACAGAUGGGCUGCGGAAGAUACUAUAGAGCUAGGAGGCCAGUGGCGAAGGCGGCUUGCCAGAACGCGCUCGACGGUGAGGGAUGAAAGCUGGGGGAGCAAACCGGAUUAGAUACCCGGGUAGUCCCAGCUGUAAACGAUGCAGACUCGGUGAUGAGUUGGCUUAUUGCUAACUCAGUGCCGCAGGGAAGCCGUUAAGUUUGCCGCCUGGGGAGUACGGUCGCAAGACUGAAACUUAAAGGAAUUGGGAGAGGUACACGGUACUCGAUAGGAAGGGGUAAAAUCCUUUGAUCUAUUGAUGACCACGGCGGGGGGAGCAC
This 792-nucleotide ribosomal RNA is filed under the name uncultured crenarchaeote. Its description in RNAcentral is "bacterial SSU rRNA". It matches the Rfam family "Archaeal small subunit ribosomal RNA", at positions 85 to 954 of the family's 1478-position model. Lineage: Archaea; Thermoproteati; Thermoproteota. The record is from RNAcentral.